Clupea harengus (Atlantic herring) is the source of this 3661-nucleotide long non-coding RNA. Lineage: Eukaryota; Metazoa; Chordata; Actinopteri; Clupeiformes; Clupeidae. The record is from Ensembl.
UGCAUUAAGGGUGCUAGCGCAACACGGACCAAAAAUGGAGUCAUAUCUCGCUCGCCUGUGCUCUAUGCUGCUCGAGCCUGUCCUCCUGUCUCGGGAUGACUCACAUGCUGUUUGGCAUAAUGUUCACCAGUGAGAGUGUCAGCUGUUGAGUUGUCUCCAUGCAAACUGCAAACGACCACGGCGUUCCCACAGUGCGAACUUGCCAUCCUCAGAGCGCAAUUUAUGGAGUUCAAAGCCUCCCAGUUUCAGAAUAAAACAUUCGCACAGGUUUUUAGAAAAUAACUUAAAGACAGCCUCUAAUACGAAACCUAUAUAUAUAUAUUUCCAAGGAAAGGAAUAUUUCAGCCCCGCUUGGAACUUUUAUCAAAAGCAGCUUACAGUACAGUACAGACAUUUUCAUCAGUAUGGGCAUCGAACGCAUGAUCUUGGUGUCGUUAGCACCUUGGUCUAGUAGUCGAGCCACAGGAACAGUUGAACAGUUGAACAGUACACGAUAUCAUAGUUUAGGUAUUUAACAGACACCGUCUAAAGCAGACUCAUAAAACAUUUGAUGAACUAAUAGUGUAAUAACAAUAAUGAGAAAAAGUUACGUUGCUGUAUCAGCAAAAUGGUAUAGCGAUGUAAUAAGGCUUACUACAUAUAAACCAGUAAGGAGUCAUGUCACCCGAUGAUGUGUGAGAUGAACCUCAGCCCCACCUUUUCCCUCCUAUCGCCACACUCCAUGACUGUGUCCUUAGCCCACAGGGCUAUCUUUCCUUGUGAACGUUCUCUCCUAAACACACCAAACACCACACAAGGCCGCCACGUGCAGCACACGAUUCCCAUGCAACUUGCCUCUCAUACACAGUAGCACAAAUCUUGCUUGUGCGUAAGACAUAUUGCUUCCACUUCUUGCCGUGCCCUAGCUGAAUUCACGGAUCCUUGCAGGUCAUCUACUGCCCGUUUGAAAUAUAUCUGUGGAAGCUGAUUGUAAAACAUUAUAGGCUUUGUAAGGACCAGUCAUGAAGAAAUAUUGCAUAUAAUAAUAUUGCUUUGUUCUCCAGAAUAUAUAUUCAUAUUUGUUAUGUGCUGCUCGGUGAAGGUAGGUUAUACGACAAAACAAAACAAGUUGUUAAAACAGCGCCAGCAUUUGUGCAUAUUCAAACGAAAGCUGUCACCUCGGAAGCAGGAAGCUGGUACAGCUGUUAGGCCUUUUCACGUCAAAAACACAAGAAGUAAGAAAUCAAUUAUGGCUGAUGCCCCCGAGCUGGGAGAGGAUUGAUCCAUGCGGACAUCCUCCCCGGGGGCCUUCGGGCUUGGCCAUAUGCUGACUGCAGCACUCAGGGCUCAGUUUUGGCGUUUUCCAGAGCGCGCUCACCUCUACACCUGCUGCAGUGUCCCGGCUCACCUCUCCAUGGCCUCUCCACGCAGAUGGUGACCGGAGCGCUUUUGUUUUAAUCACUUCAUUAAUUAUUUGACUUAUUUACAUUUUCCCCACAAACAUUGAAUUCAUUUAGCAGACACUUUUAUCCAAAGCAACUUACAGGACAGAUUCACAUUUUAAUCAGUAUGUUUGUGCUCUCUAUGUAUCAAGCACACGAUACUGGUGCUGUUGUCACCUUGCUAUACCAGUUGCUCCAACAAUUUAGCCACAGGAACACAAACUAGCUUGUUUCAGCCUUUUUUGUGGGGGUAUUUAUUCAAAUCGCUACUCACUGGGUUGGAUAUUUGUUUGCGAUCUGUUGUUGUUUCUUUUGAGAUAUUCACACGUGACAGGCUUGUUGGUCUUUAUCCGUGCUGGUGAUUAGUCACCAGACUGAGCCCCCAAGGACUUCCACCAACUCGCUCAACUCGCUCACGCACCCUGGAAGCAUUAAGGAUCCAACAAGAGGCUCAUCUGAUAAUCAAUGCAGCUCAAACUCUCCUCCUUGAUAAAGACAUUCGUCAUGCUUGUUAUAACUGUGAAGCACUUAGUCACGCAAGCACAUAAGCAUGGGCACUAGCGCGCGCACACAUUCACACGCCACACACACUCUGACUCACACACACACACACACACAUACAAACAGACACAUAAAUAUUACAUUACUCAUAUUUAUACACCCCCUCACUGGUGGCUCUUAAAACCCUUCCCUGCACUCUUGUGUUCCAUAUGUGCUGUGUUCUAACAACUAACGCUCGUUGACCUUUGACCCUUCUCUCUUGUCUAUCCCUGCUAACACCAAACAGUGGACAGAGGAGUUUGAUUGUUGUUUUGCAGUGCCAGUGGUAACGGAGUGAGAUUAAACAUACUGUAAUGGACCUAGUGAGAGCAGCCACAUGAUUGUUAUUAAGGUAUAUAGGUCUAAUAGGAGCACACAUAUCUUCAGUGGUGUGCGCUGGCCUGUGUAUUACUGAGCUCUGUCUCGUCUCUUCUCGUGUUCACAGCUGCUACGCCAUGGAAAAAAAAAUCAGGUACAGUGACCAACAUCAUCUUCAGCUCUGGGCAGUCUAUGCAUUAACCCACCACACCCACACCUACACACAAACACAAACACAGCUGCUGAAAACACAAGAUGUGAUGAAUGUGGUCAUCCACAUAACUGUAAGCAACAUGGCGCUGUUUUAAUAAUGUGCUAGCCUAACACAUUCCUUUAACAAGAGGCAUGUGAGAGGUAUACAGAUGACUGUACUGUAAAAAACAUUCAUUCAACAAAGAAGAGUAAUCGGAUAUCAAAGUGACAAAUACAGAUGCUGAAGUGACCAUGUUUUUAAUAACCAGUGUUUAAAGAAUGCUUUUUUGUAGAUAGAUAGUUUUUGUCCUGAAUUCCUGAAUUUAAUUGAGAUGUUUCAUUGUCAAAGGAUGAACACACCUGUUGUUCUCACUAGCAACCCAGGCCACAGGAGAACAUCUCCAGAUAUAUUGCUGAAAUAAAUCAGUUACCAAGUUAGCCAGCUGUUAUUAGUGCCAGCUGUGCUUUUGAUAAGAUAAGAUAAGAUAAGAUAAACUUGUAUUAAUCCCGUGAGGGAAAUUCAGGUGUUAUAGCAGCAAGGUAGUAGGAAUCAAAUAUAUACAUAAACAUCAAAAUAAAUGAUGUGAUGUGUCCAAAGCAAGUCUGUCAGCUAAUCAGCUCACCAGUUUUAGUCAGAAACUCCACAGUCCUCGUUAACAGACUAACAAUGCUUGCCAUGUUGACACACAGGACACUGGAUGAUAGUAUGACUACAUAUUUUCUGCAGACAACCUGUUAACUUGUUGCACCCUUGCUUUUUUUUUUUUUUGUAGAGUUCGAAUCCUCUCAAGUCACCGAGAAGAAGAGGACAGUCUAUCAGAUGGCUUUGAGUAAGAGUCUGUCUGCCUGCCUGUGUUCCUGCAGCUGUGUGGUGUUGGACUAGUUUCCCAAACAGCCCCAGUCCCUGAACUAGAUUGCAUUCUCAAAAAAAGAAGCUCCUGCAUUUAGCAAAACAGUUCUUUGUAGGCAUCCUUUUGUGUUUGUGUGAAAUCUAGAGAGUCACUUUCUCUCAAUGUCUCUUGCUCAGAUAAACUGGAUGAAAUCUAGAGAGUCACUUUCUCUCAAUGUCUCUUGCUCAGAUAAACUGGAUGAAAUCUAGAGAGUCACUUUCUCUCAAUGUCUCUUCCUCAGAUAAACUGGAUGAAAUCUAGAGAGUCACUUUCUCUCAAUGUCUCUUGCUCAGAUAAACU